AAGGGGCGGCGCGUUAUCGGUGCCCGUGGGCGUAUCUCGCCCUCGGCUUAAACGGGAAACAGGUGCGCGGCUUGUCGUCAGGACAAGGCCGCAAUGCCUGUGCUGCCCCCGCAACGGUAAGUGCGCGCAAGGCGAGUCAUGCUGCCACUGGGAAUUUUCCUGGGAAGGCGACCCGCCCGUGCGGCCCUCGGGCCGACACAGCGCACCAGCCCGGAGACCGGCCGUAACGCGAAAUGGCGG
Molecule: non-coding RNA, 240 nt
Filed under: Thauera terpenica
Lineage: Bacteria; Pseudomonadati; Pseudomonadota; Betaproteobacteria; Rhodocyclales; Zoogloeaceae
Source: RNAcentral